UAGGGACUAAAAUCGUUUUUUAAUUGAAACCCAAUUAGUAUGGCGGCCAGUAAGAGUUUUAGGGGAACUUACCAGGUAAUUGAUAACCCACAAGGGGACUCACUUAACUUAAAAGCUUGCAUACCGCCGUUUUAAUUUACUUCAAAAAAAGUAAGUAAGAACCAAAAAAAAAGGUAUUUAUCAGGUCAAGGUGCAGCCAAUAGUUAAGGUUUUAGGCGAGUUACAUUUAAAAUUUUUCUGCCCCCCCCUUCCUUUAAAAGGAAGGGGGGGAGAGGACUUAAAAGUAAAAUUUAAGGGGGAAUAUAGUUUGAAUUUUUUCCCUUAUUGGUGC
Molecule: ribosomal RNA, 331 nt
Filed under: Wallaconchis melanesiensis
Lineage: Eukaryota; Metazoa; Mollusca; Gastropoda; Systellommatophora; Onchidiidae
Description: partial 12S ribosomal RNA
Source: RNAcentral